GAAUUCGCCCUUAGAGUUUGAUCCUGGCUCAGGAUGAACGCUGGCGGCAUGCCUAAUACAUGCAAGUCGAACGAGAGGAAGGAAAGCUUGCUUUUCUGAAUCUAGUGGCGAACGGGUGAGUAACACGUAGGUAACCUGCCCAUGUGCCCGGGAUAACUUCUGGAAACGGAUGCUAAAACCGGAUAGGUAGCAGACAAGCAUUUGACUGCUAUUAAAGUGGCUAAGGCCAUGAACAUGGAUGGACCUGCGGUGCAUUAGCUAGUUGGUGAGGUAACGGCCCACCAAGGCGACGAUGCAUAGCCGGCCUGAGAGGGCGGACGGCCACAUUGGGACUGAGACACGGCCCAGACUCCUACGGGAGGCAGCAGUGGGGGAUAUUGCACAAUGGGGGAAACCCUGAUGCAGCGACGCCGCGUGGAGGAAGAAGGUUUUCGGAUUGUAAACUCCUGUCGUUAGGGACGAUAAUGACGGUACCUAACAAGAAAGCACCGGCUAACUACGUGCCAGCAGCCGCGGUAAAACGUAGGGUGCAAGCGUUGUCCGGAAUUACUGGGUGUAAAGGGAGCGCAGGCGGGAAGACAAGUUGGAAGUGAAAACCAUGGGCUCAACCCAUGAAUUGCUUUCAAAACUGUUUUUCUUGAGUAGUGCAGAGGUAGAUGGAAUUCCCGGCGUAACGGUGGAAAUGCGUAGAUAUUCGGGGAGGGAACACCAGUGGCGAAGGCGGUUUACUGGGCACCAACUGACGCUGAGGCUGGAAAGCAUGGGUAGCAAACAGGAUUAGAUACCCUGGUAGUCCAUGCCGUAAACGAUGAUUACUAGGUGUUGGGGGAUUGACCCCCUCAGUGCCGCAGUUAACACAAUAAGUAAUCCACCUGGGGAGUACGACCGCAAGGUUGAAACUCAAAGGAAUUGACGGGGGCCCGCACAAGCAGUGGAGUAUGUGGUUUAAUUCGAAGCAACGCGAAGAACCUUACCAGGUCUUGACAUCCGAUGCAUAGCACAGAGAUGUGUGAAAUCCUUCGGGACAUCGAGACAGGUGGUGCAUGGUUGUCGUCAGCUCGUGUCGUGAGAUGUUGGGUUAAGUCCCGCAACGAGCGCAACCCUUAUUGCCAGUUACUACGUUAAGAGGACUCUGGCGAGACUGCCGUUGACAAAACGGAGGAAGGUGGGGAUGACGUCAAAUCAUCAUGCCCUUUAUGACCUGGGCUACACACGUACUACAAUGGCGUUAAACAAAGAGAAGCAAGACCGCGAGGUGGAGCAAAACUCAAAAACAACGUCUCAGUUCAGAUUGCAGGCUGCAACUCGCCUGCAUGAAGUCGGAAUUGCUAGUAAUCGCGGAUCAGCAUGCCGCGGUGAAUACGUUAGGGGGCCUUGCACACACCGCCCGUCA
RNAcentral lists this ribosomal RNA (1393 nucleotides) under uncultured bacterium. RNAcentral's name for it is "bacterial SSU rRNA". It matches the Rfam family "Bacterial small subunit ribosomal RNA". The record is from RNAcentral.